Molecule: long non-coding RNA, 3678 nt
Organism: Scophthalmus maximus (turbot)
Lineage: Eukaryota; Metazoa; Chordata; Actinopteri; Pleuronectiformes; Scophthalmidae
Exons: 6
Source: RefSeq, a predicted model, not a curated record
CUUGCAGCCUGAAAACCAGCCUCUAAAUUUGAACAGGAGGGAGACAAGGUGACUGAGCAGACUUUUCUUGCUGCUCUCUCCCUGUCUCUCUCCAUUAUGUUCUUUUUCUCCUCCUCUCCCAGUAGUCAGUGAGUGUGUGUGUGUUUUUUUUGGGGGGGGGGGGGGUUUGCAUUGGAAGAGCGAAGAGGAGGUGCAGAUUUCGGCUCGUGAAAAGGGGAAGUAAAGAGGAAGGGAAGAAGAAGAAGAGGAGGAGGAUGAGGGGGGAAAAGGCAAGAGGGAAAGACUCCCCCCCCCAGCCCCCAGCCCCCAUCUCUCUAUUCCUCACCCUCAUUCCCUCCACUGCCAAAGACUUUUUGCCUCGGAAGCAGCGGCGGGACCAACUUCAAAAAGCCAGUGAGGAGGGAGCUGGAGUGUGAAAUCUGAGAGCAGGAGCCGGUCGGGAGGCUGACCGGCGCUCGGUGUGCUGUGCUGUCCAGGUCAGUGCCCGGGAAAGACCAAAACAAUUGCUCACUCUUUUUUUUUCUCCCCUUUGACUUGGUUCUUUUUAACUGCCUCCCAGCUCUCGUUCAGCCUGUGCACAUUCUGCACGCCGUCCCCCUUUUGCCUCGUGCUUGUCUUGUGACCGAAAAGCAACGACAGCUGUGUGUGCCGGCGUGGAAUUGUGUCGACGAGACGGGGUGACACGGUGAACGCGACGCCGUGCAUCACAUCGCGCCUCCUCCUCAGCACCGUCCCGACUCUCACGCUGCGGCCGAGGCAGAGUGAGAGCGCCGAGCCUCCAGCUGCUCCCAUCGAGCCCUGCGUGUGGAAACCGCGCGGCCGGUCAGCUCAGACGUUCACGUGUGCCGGGGCUCGAUGGAUGCUGACACGUGGUCACGCAAAAAAAGGUUUGUCCCUUUCGAAUUGAUACAGCAGAAGAGACGGCAUUUUUUACUGUGGCUACAGCAGUGUUUCCAGCUGAUCAGGAAUCAUCUAGGAGCUGCCAGGACAGAGAGUACCAAUGACACCUGGCAUUGAUCUCAGUGACUGCGGCCGAUCUUGCUGCUGAAAGCUGAAGGCCUGUAAUGGGAUACACAGAAGGUCUCUGUUGCCUUUUGAUAUGGAUGCGACACCUGCAGCAAAGUCAGCCUUGACAGCUUGCACGUGACCCACCAUCAUGUAGGCGUUCAACUUUGAAGAGAGCCAGGUAUUGAUGACUGGAGGCCGAGGCAGAGCAGGUCCGCUCUUCUUCCCCGGCAGGCCUCCGUAUCAGUUUUGUAAAGACCGGCUGGAAAUCCCCCGAUGAAUCGACAUUUAACACUUUCCUGCCACGUCAACCAAAAAAAGCUGCAAAUGUUUUUGUUGGACAUUUGAAGGGAAUGUCUUAAGCAUGUUGGCUACAGCCACCAUGCUACAUAUAAAUUUGUUUAUUUUUUUUUGCUUCAACAGCCUUGGUGCCAUGUCGCUGGGCAGAUGACAGAGAUUAGAUUUGUGGGGGUUCCAAGUUGGUUUCUUUUUGAGCUGGCAGGAUUUUGAGGGACUCCUUGACCUGCCCUCUGUCUUUUGGCUCCUGUAACAGGAUAAGAAUCUUUGUGACAUUACGGAAAUUGUUUGGGUUUUUUUCAAAACAAAAUGUUUGUUUCCCCCUUACUUUUUUCCUGCGUCUUUAGUUCAGCUGCAACUGCAACAGUUGGCUUGGUUGAACGACAGAAAUUUGAUGGGCAACAUUCAGCUAUAACUUGAUAACUUUGAAUUCUGGCUUGUUGGUCUGAUGAAAAAUUAAAUAAAGUGUAGAUAACAGUUUUAGAGACUUUUACAGUUUAGGCAUUUUUUUUCAUGUUUUCAUAAACUUGAGAUGAGAAAAUAAUCAAUAGACCCACCCAUUAAUAAUGACUUUUAUUUUUUUUCUGUGCCACAGCAGAAAAAGAAAGGCAUUAUAUAAUGAAUUCAUUUUAUUGCACCAUCCUUGUCCCCUCUUUUAUAUGUGACUAUUUUUGUUCAAGCACUCUUUAUCAUUACUGUCUCUAUGUGUUCUAUUUGUUCAUGUCUGCUUUACCUUCCUGUAUUAGAGUCCUUGUGUGUCCAAACAUACUUGGCCAAUAAAGUUGAUUAAAAAUGUUUUUAUUCUAUUCUAUGAAAAAGUAUAUACUUAAUUUAGUUUUUGUUAUUUUUAAAAAAUGAUCAUGCCUUACUGUGUGUACGUUAGACAUUCAUAAUGUGUGAGGUCCAGGAAAUUGUGUUACCUUCUAAACUAUUUAAUGAAUACCAUUAAGUGUUUGUUCAGUUUACAAAAUUACUGUCUGCAUGAUGUGAUGCUCAUAAUAUCUGACAUAAGACUACUAUAUGCUCACACAAUGUCAAACCAGUUGUGAGCCAAGCUUCAUUGCUCAUUUCCUGCUUUUAUUUCAGCACCAGGUUGUAAUAUCCAUGAGCCGUUGUGACCUGUCCAACGAGCUCACAUCAGGAGUCACCAUCAACUUACGUCUUUGGUAAUUUGUUACUUUUUCCUCUUUCUUUUGCUUUUGGCUCUGUUGUUUCAAUAUUUUCAAAUUGAGAUUUCAAAAUGUUGCAUAUUGUCAGUGUUUCAAAUGUCAUAUUCAAAUAAAUUUUUGUUUUUGUCAAUCCAGUGUGUGUGAAAUUUGGCAGUGUUUUGCUCUGAUGACUGGUGGUCAUAUUUUACAACAUGACUGAUGAUUACACAAUUUUUAAUAUUUCAUAAUGAAUGUGGCAGCGAUGUGAGAGCACAGUGAACAGUAGGUGCAGUGUGAGACAGAGAAGUCCUACAGUUGUGUCUAAAUAAAGUCUCACUGCUGUCAUUUCACAUGAUUAUCAGUUCUUUCCACUGCUGUGCUUAUAAAUAGGAGCUCCAAAUGAAUGGUGAAAUUUUGCCGUUUGGCAUGUUUUACAUUUUAUCUUUGGCGGUAUCAUUUAUGUCUUUUCAAAAGCUUGAAUCUGUUUCAACAAGAUUAAAUCCUUGGCUGAUGAUGUGUGUUUCUGCGGAGCUGCCAAGAUGUAUUACAACCCCCUCCUCUGCUGACAUUAUCCAUGGAGCAGUAAAUGGACCUAGAUAAAGACAUUCAAAAAGACGACUGACAAGCAAGUUCUCAGAAGUCAGAAAUUGGAUGUGAGAAUUUGUGUAUGGUUAUUUGUUAAAUGGGUCAAAAUACCACAUUAAUACAUUAUUAAUUCAUGUUUGUCAUGGCAAUUGCCUGCAUAAAUACUGUAAAUAAUUAAUUAGUAAUGCAAAUAUCUAUUAUUAAAAGUUUACAAAUGUUCAUAGAUUCUGUUUAAAAAUCAAUCUGCUGUUUUUCAUGAGUUCACACUUGUUUUGACAAAUGAAGCGAGUGUGAACACAGCGAGUUUGCUCUGUUAAGUUACUGUUCUACAGUAUAUGUCCUGAUACUGCUCAGGCCGCUUUGUCUUGCUCUCACUUACAGCUUAUUAGAACAGGUCAGGACGUGUCAGAAAGGUCCAGGAACAUGAGAUGGAUAGGACACAGAAGCAAGCUUCGUCUGCCCAUAUACACGUACACACACAGGGUAUCCUGACCAGGACAUACAUCUGUACGUGUGAAAGCUCACUCACUGACAUCUAGUCAUAGAAAUGCAACUUAUUUCUCGAUGUGGCUCUAAUGAUGAGAUACUGAUAUAUCAUUAAAAAGAAAAGAUUUUAAUGCAAAUAAAUCAUUUCUUAAAAUGC